UAAGGUAGUAGUAGUUAUGAUCUUGAAACUUAAAAAAUUUGGCGGUAUUUUAUUCUAUUCAGAGGAACCUGUUUUAUAAUCGAUAAUCCACGAUGGACCUUACUUAGUUUUGUUAUCAGUUUAUAUACCGUCGUUAUUAGAAUAUUUUAUAAGAAUUUUAAUUUUCAUAAUUUUAAAAAAGAAAGUAUAUCAGAUCAAGGUGUAGCUUAUAAUUAAGUAAAAAUGGGUUACAAUAAAUUUAUUUAAAUGAAUAUAAAUUUGAAAUAUUUAUUGAAGGUGGAUUUGAUAGUAAAAUUAUAUAGAUUAAUAAU
This 311-nucleotide ribosomal RNA is filed under the name Exorista globosa. RNAcentral's name for it is "partial 12S rRNA". The record is from RNAcentral. Lineage: Eukaryota; Metazoa; Arthropoda; Insecta; Diptera; Tachinidae.